ACGGAAGCUGCACCUCUGUCCUCGGCGCCGAGUAGGGCCACUUUUACAGAGUCUUGGAGGUUUUUAGUGAACCUCUCUCAAGGAGGACAUUGUCCCCAGAGAAGAAGUACGGCAGUGGAGAAACCUGACAAACACCACCACAGCCAAAUGAUCAAAGGUUACCAUCAACAGCAAUAAGCCAUGUUGAAAACUUCCCUGGUGGCGCAGGGGUUAAGAAUCUGCCUGCCAAUGCAGGGGACAUGG
Molecule: long non-coding RNA, 243 nt
Organism: Hippopotamus amphibius kiboko
Lineage: Eukaryota; Metazoa; Chordata; Mammalia; Artiodactyla; Hippopotamidae
Exons: 3
Source: RefSeq, a predicted model, not a curated record